GCGGGCGCGUGCUAUAAUGCAGUCGAGCGGACAGAUGGGAGCUUGCUCCCUGAUGUUAGCGGCGGACGGGUGAGUAACACGUGGGUAACCUGCCUGUAAGACUGGGAUAACUCCGGGAAACCGGGGCUAAUACCGGAUGGUUGUUUGAACCGCAUGGUUCAGACAUAAAAGGUGGCUUCGGCUACCACUUACAGAUGGACCCGCGGCGCAUUAGCUAGUUGGUGAGGUAACGGCUCACCAAGGCGACGAUGCGUAGCCGACCUGAGAGGGUGAUCGGCCACACUGGGACUGAGACACGGCCCAGACUCCUACGGGAGGCAGCAGUAGGGAAUCUUCCGCAAUGGACGAAAGUCUGACGGAGCAACGCCGCGUGAGUGAUGAAGGUUUUCGGAUCGUAAAGCUCUGUUGUUAGGGAAGAACAAGUGCCGUUCAAAUAGGGCGGCACCUUGACGGUACCUAACCAGAAAGCCACGGCUAACUACGUGCCAGCAGCCGCGGUAAUACGUAGGUGGCAAGCGUUGUCCGGAAUUAUUGGGCGUAAAGGGCUCGCAGGCGGUUUCUUAAGUCUGAUGUGAAAGCCCCCGGCUCAACCGGGGAGGGUCAUUGGAAACUGGGGAACUUGAGUGCAGAAGAGGAGAGUGGAAUUCCACGUGUAGCGGUGAAAUGCGUAGAGAUGUGGAGGAACACCAGUGGCGAAGGCGACUCUCUGGUCUGUAACUGACGCUGAGGAGCGAAAGCGUGGGGAGCGAACAGGAUUAGAUACCCUGGUAGUCCACGCCGUAAACGAUGAGUGCUAAGUGUUAGGGGUUUCCGCCCCUUAGUGCUGCAGCUAACGCAUUAAGCACUCCGCCUGGGGAGUACGGUCGCAAGACUGAAACUCAAAGGAAUUGACGGGGGCCCGCACAAGCGGUGGAGCAUGUGGUUUAAUUCGAAGCAACGCGAAGAACCUUACCAGGUCUUGACAUCCUCUGACAAUCCUAGAGAUAGGACGUCCCCUUCGGGGGCAGAGUGACAGGUGGUGCAUGGUUUGUCGUCAGCUCGUGU
This 1044-nucleotide ribosomal RNA is filed under the name Bacillus amyloliquefaciens. RNAcentral describes it as "bacterial SSU rRNA". It matches the Rfam family "Bacterial small subunit ribosomal RNA", at positions 39 to 1065 of the family's 1533-position model. Lineage: Bacteria; Bacillati; Bacillota; Bacilli; Caryophanales; Bacillaceae. The record is from RNAcentral.